GACGAACGCUGGCGGCGUGCUUAACACAUGCAAGUCGAACGGAAAGGCCCUGCUUUUGUGGGGUGCUCGAGUGGCGAACGGGUGAGUAACACGUGAGUAACCUGCCCUUGACUUUGGGAUAACUUCAGGAAACUGGGGCUAAUACCGGAUAGGAGCUCCUGCUGCAUGGUGGGGGUUGGAAAGUUUCGGCGGUUGGGGAUGGACUCGCGGCUUAUCAGCUUGUUGGUGGGGUAGUGGCUUACCAAGGCUUUGACGGGUAGCCGGCCUGAGAGGGUGACCGGGCACAUUGGGACUGAGAUACGGCCCAGACUCCUACGGGAGGCAGCGGUGGGGAAUAUUGCACAAUGGGCGGAAGCCUGAUGCAGCAACGCCGCGUGCGGGAUGACGGCCUUCGGGUUGUAAACCGCUUUCGCCUGUGACGAAGCGUGAGUGACGGUAAUGGGUAAAGAAGCACCGGCUAACUACGUG
This 468-nucleotide ribosomal RNA is filed under the name uncultured bacterium. RNAcentral's name for it is "partial 16S ribosomal RNA". It matches the Rfam family "Bacterial small subunit ribosomal RNA", at positions 28 to 507 of the family's 1533-position model. The record is from RNAcentral.